UACCAGCACCCCGAGUGGUCGGGACGAUUAUUGGGCCUAAAGCAUCCGUAGCCGGUCCUGCAAGUCUUCCGUUAAAUCCAGCUGCUCAACAGAUGGGCUGCGGGAGAUACUACAGGGCUAGGAGGCGGGAGAGGCAAGCGGUACUCGAUGGGUAGGGGUAAAAUCCGUUGAUCCAUUGAAGACCACCAGUGGCGAAGGCGGCUUGCCCAGAA
Molecule: ribosomal RNA, 212 nt
Filed under: uncultured bacterium
Lineage: Bacteria
Description: partial 16S ribosomal RNA
Rfam family: Archaeal small subunit ribosomal RNA
Source: RNAcentral